Dermochelys coriacea (leatherback sea turtle) is the source of this 124-nucleotide long non-coding RNA. RefSeq lists it as uncharacterized. Lineage: Eukaryota; Metazoa; Chordata; Testudines; Dermochelyidae. The transcript has 2 exons. The record is from RefSeq and is a predicted model, not a curated record.
GGGUUUUUUUAUUGAAAGGAAAAAAUUGAAGUAGAAACUUCAACAGUAAUACAAAGGUUGCAGUCCACAGACUGAAAACACCAUAAGAUAUCAGUUCACAGUGAAGAAACCCCCAGGCAUCAAG